GGUCCUGGGGUGUCACACGUCAGAUUGCAAAUCUGAAGAAGCAGAAGAAGUUCUGCCGGGGCUU
RNAcentral lists this transfer RNA (64 nucleotides) under Incilius nebulifer (nebulous toad). RNAcentral's name for it is "tRNA-Cys". Lineage: Eukaryota; Metazoa; Chordata; Amphibia; Anura; Bufonidae. The record is from RNAcentral.